Molecule: ribosomal RNA, 253 nt
Filed under: uncultured bacterium
Lineage: Bacteria
Description: partial 16S ribosomal RNA
Rfam family: Bacterial small subunit ribosomal RNA
Source: RNAcentral
UACGAGAGGUCCAAACGUUAUUCGGAAUUACUGGGCUUACAGAGUUCGUAGGCGGCUCUACAAGUGAGGUGUGAAAGCCCUCGGCCCAACCGAGGAACUGCGCUUCAAACUGUAGAACUAGAGGGAGAUAGAGGUGAGCAGAACUGAUGGUGGAGCGGUGAAAUGCGUUGAUAUCAUCAGGAAUACCGGAGGCGAAGGCGGCUCUCUGGGACGGUACUGACGCUGAGACGCGAAAGCGUGGGGAGCGAACAGG